UACGUAGGUCUCGAGCGUUAUCCGGAGUUACUGGGCGUAAAGAGUCCGUAGCCGGCGAAUUAAGUCUACUUUCAAAGACCGAGGCUCAACUUCGGGAAGGGAGUAGAUACUGAUGAGCUAGAGGCAGAUAGAGGUUAGUAGAAUUUCCAGUGGAGGGGUGGAAUCCGUUGAUAUUGGAAGGAAUGCCAAAAGCGAAAGCAGCUAACUAUAUCUGAGCUGACGGUAAAGGACGAAAGCAUGGGUAGCAAACAGGAUUAGAUACCCUGGUAGUCCAUGCUGUAAACGAUCCUCGCUAGAUGUCUAUACAGAGUAUAGGUGUCGUAAGUUAACACGUUAAGCGGGGCGCCUGGGGAGUAUAGUCGCAAGACCGAAACUCAAAGGGAUAGGUGGGGGAACACACAAGCGGUGGAUUGCCUCGAUUAAUUGGAUAAUAAGCCAAGAAUCUUACCUGGGCUUGACAUCUAUAGAAUCUAUUAGAGAUGAUAGAGUGCCUAGCUUGCUAGGAGCUAUAAGACAGGUGCUGCAUGGCCGUCGUCAGCUCGUGCCGCAAGGUGUCCGGUUAAGUCCGGGAACGAGCGCAACCCUUAUUGUUAGUUAGAAUGUCUAACAAGACUGCUGUCGCAAGGCAGAGGAAGGAGGGGAUAACGUCAGGUCAUUAUGGCCCUUAUGCCCAGGGCGUCAGAGGCAAUACAAUGGGUAGUACAGAGGGAAGCAAAAACGAGAGUUAGAGCAAAACCCAAAAGCUAUCCUAAGUGCGGAUUGUAGUCUGGAAUUCGACUACAUGAAGUUGGAAUCGCUAGUAAUGGUGAAUCAGCCAUGUCACCGUGAAUAUGUCCCUGUUCCU
This 844-nucleotide ribosomal RNA is filed under the name uncultured bacterium. RNAcentral describes it as "SSU rRNA". It matches the Rfam family "Bacterial small subunit ribosomal RNA", at positions 524 to 1381 of the family's 1533-position model. The record is from RNAcentral.